Dermacentor albipictus is the source of this 1166-nucleotide long non-coding RNA. RefSeq lists it as uncharacterized. The record is from RefSeq and is a predicted model, not a curated record. NCBI's taxonomy places the organism in Eukaryota, Metazoa, Arthropoda, Arachnida, Ixodida, Ixodidae.
CGGCAUCCUGGUUGCAAUGACGCGUUCUGCAAGGAUCUCUGUUACACGUGAGUCACACGAUGGAACGCAGCAUUUGACGUAGGCAAAGUUUGCGCCCGUUGCACGUCUGCCAAAAUGAACACUCGCUAAAGUGAAGAAGAAAGUUCACAAGAGUUUUGCUAGCUGCUGAGAACAGCAUACUCUGGCCGCAGCUGGAACGCCAAGCUAGCGAGAGAAUUCCAGUGGUUGAAAACAGCAUUAUGCAUUCAGUGACCAGCUUUGUUGUGGUCUUCUCCGUGGUAAUGAUUGUUGCUACCGCAACCAACGAAACAGGUUAGGAAAGAACCAUGCUUUUAGCGUGCACUUUGGUCGUGAUGUUGGGUCUCGGAGCACAAGUUACCGCUACGACCAAGAAUGACAGCAAAGGGUGUGACUUCUCCGGCAUAGACGUGGACCCCUUUAUGACAAGAAUUCUUGCUCUGCUACCUUCGAACUACUCCAUCAAGCCCGCCGACUUUAGGCCGUUCAUCCCUGGACUUGAGAUCGGCAGCCUGAGACUGAGUGGCUUCGAUAAAAUCCUCCGUUACGGGCCGUUGGUUCCUUACUGCGUGGAUGGUAGGCACAUGCUGCAAGUGGACCUGAUCAACAACGGUGACGUCAACAUGAUCUCGCGCUGGAAAUCUUGCUCCGGGGACGAAGGGGAGAUUCAUUUCCGCAACUCAUUCUCACGUCUUACAGUUCAGUUCCACGUGCUCACUCAUCCCACCGCGCGGGCCUUUUCAUUCGACUUUGAGGAUGCAGUAGUAGUUCCCGUGAGUUCGGGUUAUCCUUACCUUGUAAUCGAAGGCGCAGGUGAGGGCGUAAGCACAGCAAGCAGAUGGCUCAGCAAAAUUUUCCCCGCUGAGGUUACGAAGGUGUGGACCGAUAACUUCCAUACGCACUUCGGUGCCGCUUUGCGCGACGCUGUGCGCGGUACCUUUUCGGGAGGGCCUAGACCUGCGCUUUACUACGAACGACUCCAUUAAUGUCGUGAACGACAGUUCUUGACUUGCAGUUUGUGGAAUACAACAGUCCUUCCUCCCAAGUGGCCUGUUUGUGUUAUUUCCUUCUUCUAUAUAAAGUAUAUUGUAUGAAAAAACCGAUUGUAUCUAAAAAAUAAAAUAAAAUAUAUAAAAUAAAAGAAACUU